UCCAUUGUGAAGUGAAAUUUGAAGGAAGUCGGACGCAAACACUCGAAUUGACGGACAGAAAUCUCAUAUAAGGCUGACUGGAGAAGGACGAGCUUUCUCAACAAAGUAAAGUCCAAUGCUGCACGAAUCUUCUACAAUAAAUGAGGCAGUGACAUGAGUGGAAGGUUAUCAUU
This 173-nucleotide non-coding RNA is filed under the name Carnobacterium viridans. The record is from RNAcentral. Lineage: Bacteria; Bacillati; Bacillota; Bacilli; Lactobacillales; Carnobacteriaceae.